UACAACAUCAGGGUAGGCGACAUCUAACGUAUAUAGCUAUGGGCGCUAACUAGUAUUCACGUCGUAUCAUGCUUAACUCUUUUUCUCCUUUUACGCACUUUGAAAGUCUAUUGUGAGUUACACAAUGCAGCAUUUAGCUCGCUCGUAAACAUCGCUUAUGUCCUCAGGUCACUGUCUGAGCAGAAGUUUCAUCAUUAGCCCUGACUGUCAGAUGCUCUUCAUCUCAGGAGCUGUAUUUUUAAAUGCUUGAUAACAGAUAUAAGCGAGAAGAGGCUGAAUCCGAAGCCUGAGAAGAAGCAGAGAAACAGAGGAUCGAACGAGAGAAACACUUCCAGAAAGAGGAGCUGGAACACUAGGAAAGAAAGAAGGUAAAGGUUUCACCAUGUUCCACUUGUCUGUAGCUCAUUGUCAUCCUCUCGCUCUGUGAUAAUGCUACACGUGGUGUUG
Danio rerio (zebrafish) is the source of this 447-nucleotide non-coding RNA. The record is from RefSeq and is a predicted model, not a curated record. Lineage: Eukaryota; Metazoa; Chordata; Actinopteri; Cypriniformes; Danionidae.